UACGGAAGGUGCGAGCGUUGUUCGGAUUUACUGGGCGUAAAGCGCGCGCAGGCGGACUGACAAGUCAGAUGUGAAAUCUCGGGGCUUAACCCCGAAAUUGCGUCUGAAACUGCCAGUCUAGAGUAUCAGAGGGGAUAGGGGAAUUUCACGUGUAGGGGUAAAAUCCGUAGAGAUGUGAAGGAACACCGGUGGCGAAGGCGCCUAUCUGGAUGAUUACUGACGCUGAGGCGCGAAAGCGUGGGGAGCAAACAGG
This 253-nucleotide ribosomal RNA is filed under the name uncultured bacterium. Its description in RNAcentral is "partial 16S ribosomal RNA". It matches the Rfam family "Bacterial small subunit ribosomal RNA", at positions 524 to 776 of the family's 1533-position model. The record is from RNAcentral.